This 236-nucleotide long non-coding RNA is filed under the name Olea europaea (common olive). RNAcentral's name for it is "long non-coding RNA (OEUR_LNC010323)". Lineage: Eukaryota; Viridiplantae; Streptophyta; Magnoliopsida; Lamiales; Oleaceae. The record is from RNAcentral.
UUAUCUCUACCGAAUUCUUCAUUGUCUUCUUGCUAUGUGGACCUCUCCUUUGAAAAUUAUGUGCCUUAUCUUUUGAGUUUGUCUGCCACUUGUGUCAAUUAGUGGGUAAGUGGUCACAAUAAUGGAGACUUUCUCAUAUUAUUUCUUGUCUCUAGUAGCCACAGUUUUUCUUUAAUAAAUUUCUUUAUUAAAGUAGUGAUAAAGGGCUACUUCAAUCACCAUUAUUUCUCCAUUUU